Non-coding RNA from Acanthosepion pharaonis, 90 nucleotides. The record is from the annotation of a GenBank genome assembly. Lineage: Eukaryota; Metazoa; Mollusca; Cephalopoda; Sepiida; Sepiidae.
CCAUAUCACAUAUGAUCAUUGAAGUUAAGCAACAUUGAGCCUGGUCAGUACCUAGAUAGGUGACUACUUGGGAAUAUCAGGUGCUGUAAG